GCUGAGCUCGGUAACGUGGGUUUGUCACCAAGUGGAGCAUUAAGGUAUUUGAAUAAUUUGGUAUUGAAUUCAAGGUUGACAUUAUGAGCUAGCUUUGAUUUGCCCGUUUCCAAGUUGGGCAGUGGAUUCUAUGUUUCAGGCUAACGCUUGAAUCAUAUUCUCCCUAAACUUGAGGGUAAUGCGUGAGGCUGGUUUCACAGAUCAGCGAUUACCUCUCACUCUCAACGGUGGAAGGAUUACAACUCAUUUGCUCAUAUUGUCAAUUAGCCUUGGAAUCCACCAAAUUCAACAAAUAUUUUU
Molecule: signal recognition particle RNA, 300 nt
Filed under: Zostera marina
Lineage: Eukaryota; Viridiplantae; Streptophyta; Magnoliopsida; Alismatales; Zosteraceae
Description: Plant signal recognition particle RNA
Rfam family: Plant signal recognition particle RNA
Source: Rfam by way of RNAcentral